RNAcentral lists this ribosomal RNA (253 nucleotides) under uncultured bacterium. RNAcentral describes it as "partial 16S ribosomal RNA". It matches the Rfam family "Bacterial small subunit ribosomal RNA", at positions 524 to 776 of the family's 1533-position model. The record is from RNAcentral.
UACGUAGGUGGCAAGCGUUGUCCGGAUUUACUGGGCGUAAAGGAUGCGUAGGCGGACAUUUAAGUCAGAUGUGAAAUACCCGAGCUUAACUUGGGUGCUGCAUUUGAAACUGGGUGUCUAGAGUGCAGGAGAGGUAAGUGGAAUUCCUAGUGUAGCGGUGAAAUGCGUAGAGAUUAGGAAGAACACCAGUGGCGAAGGCGACUUACUGGACUGUAACUGACGCUGAGGCACGAAGGCCAGGGGAGCAAACGGG